This 468-nucleotide ribosomal RNA is filed under the name uncultured bacterium. RNAcentral's name for it is "bacterial SSU rRNA". It matches the Rfam family "Bacterial small subunit ribosomal RNA", at positions 336 to 796 of the family's 1533-position model. The record is from RNAcentral.
UUCCUACGGGGGGCUGCAGUGGGGAAUUUUGGACAAUGGGGGCAACCCUGAUCCAGCCAUGCCGCGUGAGUGAAGAAGGCCUUCGGGUUGUAAAGCUCUUUCGGCCGGGAAGAAAUCGCAUCUCCUAAUACGGGGUGUGGAUGACGGUACUGGAAGAAGAAGCACCGGCUAACUACGUGCCAGCAGCCGCGGUAAUACGUAGGGUGCGAGCGUUAAUCGGAAUUACUGGGCGUAAAGCGUGCGCAGGCGGCGCCAUAAGACAGCUGUGAAAUCCCCGGGCUUAACCUGGGAACUGCGGUUGUGACUGUGGUGCUUGAGUGCGGCAGAGGGGGGUGGAAUUCCACGUGUAGCAGUGAAAUGCGUAGAGAUGUGGAGGAACACCGAUGGCGAAGGCAGCCCCCUGGGUCGACACUGACGCUCAUGCACGAAAGCGUGGGGAGCAAACAGGAUUAGAUACCCGAGUAGUCC